GAAUCUGGCUUCAGGUUCGGGACAACAGUUGGAGACGGCUGCUAAUACCGGAUGUGCCUAAGGGUGAAAGAUUUAUCACCUGAAGAUGAGCUCGCGUCUGAUUAGCUAGUAGGUGUGGUAAGAGCGCACCUAGGCGACGAUCAGUAGCUGGUCUGAGAGGAUGAUCAGCCACACUGGGACUGAGACACGGCCCAGACUCCUACGGGAGGCAGCAGUGGGGAAUUUUCCGCAAUGGGCGAAAGCCUGACGGAGCAAUACCGCGUGAGGGAGGAAGGUCUGUGGAUUGUAAACCUCUUUUGAUAGGGAAGAAGUUCUGACGGUACCUAUCGAAUCAGCAUCGGCUAACUCCGUGCCAGCAGCCGCGGUAAUACGGAGGAUGCAAGCGUUAUCCGGAUUUAUUGGGCGUAAAGCGUCCGUAGGUGGUUAAUCAAGUCUAUUGUCAAAGCCUGGGGCUUAACCCUGGAGAGGCGGUGGAAACUGGUUAACUUGAGUGCGGUAGGGGCAGAGGGAAUUCCCAGUGUAGCGGUGAAAUGCGUAGAUAUUGGGAAGAACACCGGUGGCGAAAGCGCUCUGCUGGGCCUGCACUGACACUGAGGGACGAAAGCUAGGGGAGCG
This 615-nucleotide ribosomal RNA is filed under the name uncultured cyanobacterium. RNAcentral's name for it is "bacterial SSU rRNA". It matches the Rfam family "Bacterial small subunit ribosomal RNA", at positions 122 to 770 of the family's 1533-position model. Lineage: Bacteria; Bacillati; Cyanobacteriota. The record is from RNAcentral.